Molecule: ribosomal RNA, 453 nt
Filed under: uncultured organism
Description: partial 16S ribosomal RNA
Rfam family: Bacterial small subunit ribosomal RNA
Source: RNAcentral
CGUACACUCCUACGGGAGGCAGCAGUGGGGAAUAUUGGACAAUGGGCGCAAGCCUGAUCCAGCCAUGCCGCGUGAGUGAUGAAGGCCCUAGGGUUGUAAAGCUCUUUCACCGGUGAAGAUAAUGACGGUAACCGGAGAAGAAGCCCCGGCUAACUUCGUGCCAGCAGCCGCGGUAAUACGAAGGGGGCUAGCGUUGUUCGGAUUUACUGGGCGUAAAGCGCACGUAGGCGGACUAUUAAGUCAGGGGUGAAAUCCCGGGGCUCAACCCCGGAACUGCCUUUGAUACUGGUAGUCUUGAGUUCGAGAGAGGUGAGUGGAAUUCCGAGUGUAGAGGUGAAAUUCGUAGAUAUUCGGAGGAACACCAGUGGCGAAGGCGGCUCACUGGCUCGAUACUGACGCUGAGGUGCGAAAGCGUGGGGAGCAAACAGGAUUAGAUACCCGAGUAGUCUCAUG